RNAcentral lists this small RNA (125 nucleotides) under Marmota monax (woodchuck). Lineage: Eukaryota; Metazoa; Chordata; Mammalia; Rodentia; Sciuridae. The record is from RNAcentral.
GCCAGGCAGAGUGGUGUGUGUUUGUAAUCCCAGCAGCUUGGGAGGCUGAGACAGGAGGAUCUUGAGUUCAAAACCAGCCUCAGCAAAAGCAAGGCACUAAGCAACUCAGCAAGAUCCUGUCUCUA